RNAcentral lists this ribosomal RNA (428 nucleotides) under uncultured Chlamydiae bacterium. RNAcentral describes it as "bacterial SSU rRNA". It matches the Rfam family "Bacterial small subunit ribosomal RNA", at positions 958 to 1385 of the family's 1533-position model. The record is from RNAcentral. Lineage: Bacteria; Pseudomonadati; Chlamydiota; Chlamydiia.
AACGCGAAGAACCUUACCUGGGCUCGAAAUGUAGAGGACGUUACAAGAGAUUGUAAUUCCCGAAAGGGUCUCUAUAUAGGUGCUGCAUGGCUGUCGUCAGCUCGUGCCGUGAGGUGUUUGGUUAAGUCCAGCAACGAGCGCAACCCUUAUCGUUAGUUGCCAACGCGUAAUGGCGGGAACUCUAACGAGACUGCCUAGGUUAACUAGGAGGAAGGUGAGGAUGACGUCAAGUCCGCAUGGCCUUUAUGUCCAGGGCUACACACGUGCUACAAUGGUCGGUACAGAAGGCAGCGAAACCGUGAGGUGGAGCAAAUCCUACAAAACCGAUCUCAGUUCAGAUUGCAGUCUGCAACUCGGCUGCAUGAAGUUGGAAUUGCUAGUAAUGGCGUGUCAGCAACAACGCCGUGAAUACGUUCCCGGGCCUUGUA